ACUCAAAUGAAUAGACGGGGGCCCGCACAAGCAGCGGAGCAUGUGGUUUAAUUCGACGCAACGCGAAGAACCUUACCUGGGCUUGACAUGUGGAUCGCACCCAUGGAAACAUGGGGUCAGUUCGGCUGGAUCUUCACAGGUGGUGCAUGGCUGUCGUCAGCUCGUGUCGUGAGAUGUUGGGUUAAGUCCCGCAACGAGCGCAACCCCCGUCGCAUGUUGCCAGCAUUUAGUUGGGGACUCAUGCGAGACUGCCGGUGACAAACCGGAGGAAGGUGGGGAUGACGUCAAGUCAUCAUGCCCCUUAUGUCCAGGGCUACACACGUGCUACAUUGGCACGUACAGAGGGCUGCGAUACCGCGAGGUGGAGCGAAUCCCUCAAAGCGUGUCUCGGUUCGGAUUGCAGGCUGAAACUCGCCUGCAUGAAGGCGGAGUUGCUAGUAAUCGCGGAUCAGCAUUGCCGCGGUGAAUACGUUCCCGGGCCUUGCACACACCGCCCGU
This 498-nucleotide ribosomal RNA is filed under the name uncultured bacterium. RNAcentral describes it as "partial 16S ribosomal RNA". It matches the Rfam family "Bacterial small subunit ribosomal RNA", at positions 899 to 1397 of the family's 1533-position model. The record is from RNAcentral.